Molecule: microRNA, 21 nt
Filed under: Mus musculus (house mouse)
Lineage: Eukaryota; Metazoa; Chordata; Mammalia; Rodentia; Muridae
Description: mmu-miR-7002-5p
Source: miRBase by way of RNAcentral
UUGGCUUCGGGGAGUACGUGG